Long non-coding RNA from Gorilla gorilla gorilla (western lowland gorilla), 678 nucleotides. RefSeq lists it as uncharacterized. The transcript has 4 exons. NCBI's taxonomy places the organism in Eukaryota, Metazoa, Chordata, Mammalia, Primates, Hominidae. The record is from RefSeq and is a predicted model, not a curated record.
AUCCUUUGUUUAGCUUUGCAUGUUAGCAGACUUUGUUAAUUCACUUAUCUUUAGAAACACAUUUAUAUCAGAAAAUUUAACUUGAUGAUUAAAAAAAUUGGUGAAAUACGUGUAGACUUUUGUAACUGGAUUAUAGUUUCAUCUAAGAACUCACUAAAAAUAUACUGAACUUCAGGAAGAGAUUUUUAAAAAUGGCUUUGGUAAGCCAUUUAAAAACCUUAUUUUCCCAAACGAAUUAGUGUUGGUGUGUGGAUGAGGAACUUUGCUGUUAUUCUGUGAGCAUUACCCAAUAAGAACUAAUCAGAUGACAGAUGGAAUCUGAAGCUUGUUCUGAUGAAUUUUUGAGGAAAGGAGAAUGGUUUGAAAAUGGUAAUGAGGAGAAAGAAUGACACUGACACCAGCUCCAGGUCCCGUGGAAUGAAAUCUAUGACAGUUUCUUGCUCUGUCACCCAGGCUGGAGUGUAGUGGUGUGAUCCUAGCUCACGGCAGCCUUGAAUUCCCAGGAUCAAGUGAUUCUCCCACCUCAGCUUCUGAAGUAGCCGGGAAUACAGAAUCUUUCUCCUCCCUUCUUUGUGGUUCCUGAACUGAUAAAAAUGAGCUGCAUUUGCUUACUUUAUUGGAAUACAGUCCUCCCAUAACAAGACUAAGUGAAAGAGAACAUGUUUUCCAGGGGAAGAA